AGAGUUUGAUCCUGGCUCAGGAUGAACGCUAGCGGCAGGCUUAACACAUGCAAGUCGAGGGGUAUAGUUCUUCGGAAUUAGAGACCGGCGCACGGGUGCGUAACGCGUAUGCAAUCUACCUUUCACAGAGGGAUAGCCCAGAGAAAUUUGGAUUAAUACCUCAUAGUAUAGUUUUACCGCAUGGUAGUAUUAUUAAAGUCACAACGGUGAAAGAUGAGCAUGCGUCCCAUUAGCUAGUUGGUAAGGUAACGGCUUACCAAGGCAACGAUGGGUAGGGGUCCUGAGAGGGAGAUCCCCCACACUGGUACUGAGACACGGACCAGACUCCUACGGGAGGCAGCAGUGAGGAAUAUUGGACAAUGGAGGCAACUCUGAUCCAGCCAUGCCGCGUGCAGGAUGACGGUCCUAUGGAUUGUAAACUGCUUUUAUACGAGAAGAAACACUCCUUCGUGAAGGAGCUUGACGGUAUCGUAAGAAUAAGGAUCGGCUAACUCCGUGCCAGCAGCCGCGGUAAUACGGAGGAUCCAAGCGUUAUCCGGAAUCAUUGGGUUUAAAGGGUCCGUAGGCGGUUUAGUAAGUCAGUGGUGAAAGCCCAUCGCUCAACGGUGGAACGGCCAUUGAUACUGCUAAACUUGAAUUAUUAGGAAGUAACUAGAAUAUGUAGUGUAGCGGUGAAAUGCUUAGAGAUUACAUGGAAUACCAAUUGCGAAGGCAGGUUACUACUAAUGGAUUGACGCUGAUGGACGAAAGCGUGGGUAGCGAACAGGAUUAGAUACCCUGGUAGUCCACGCCGUAAACGAUGGAUACUAGCUGUUGGGAGCAAUCUCAGUGGCUAAGCGAAAGUGAUAAGUUCCCCCCUGG
Molecule: ribosomal RNA, 861 nt
Filed under: uncultured bacterium
Lineage: Bacteria
Description: bacterial SSU rRNA
Rfam family: Bacterial small subunit ribosomal RNA
Source: RNAcentral